UUUCCGUAGGUGAACCUGCGGAAGGAUCAUUAUCGAGUUCGGGUCCUCUGGGCCCAACCUCCAACCCCAUGUCAACCGAAACCUGUUGCUUCGGGGGCGACCCUGCCUUUCGGCGCGGCGCCCCCGGAGGCUCAUCAAACACUGCAUCUUUGCGUCGGAGUCUUAAUGAAUUUAAACAAAACUUUUAACAACGGAUCUCUUGGUUCUGGCAUCGAUGAAGAACGCAGC
This 228-nucleotide unclassified non-coding RNA is filed under the name uncultured fungus. RNAcentral's name for it is "sequence contains ITS1, 5.8S rRNA gene". The stretch from base 180 to 228 matches the Rfam family "5.8S ribosomal RNA", at positions 1 to 49 of the family's 154-position model. The record is from RNAcentral. Lineage: Eukaryota; Fungi.